AGGAAGAGUCAAUUUGGUCAUCAAUAGGAUCAACUAGUGUAUCCACACUCACAACAUGUACAUCAUCAACAAAAGGCAAAGAAUCAUUAGACUCACAAGUAAGUAAGCUACUACUCACACUCAAUGGGCUACUAGCCACACAAUUAUCAUUCACAUGCACAAAAGUGUAAGAGUUAGAUAUUUUACCUUGAAGUUCUUAAGUCGAUUUUCCUUUGCCAUGUUGUGA
Molecule: long non-coding RNA, 226 nt
Filed under: Capsicum annuum
Lineage: Eukaryota; Viridiplantae; Streptophyta; Magnoliopsida; Solanales; Solanaceae
Description: long non-coding RNA (CANN_LNC000753)
Source: RNAcentral